Molecule: long non-coding RNA, 313 nt
Filed under: Nicotiana benthamiana
Lineage: Eukaryota; Viridiplantae; Streptophyta; Magnoliopsida; Solanales; Solanaceae
Description: long non-coding RNA (NBEN_LNC020673)
Source: RNAcentral
CCCCUUAUGGUUGUUAGUAUGGUAGUUACGGUUUGUUAUUAUUGCAUGCGACUGUAUUUAUGUUUCUUAUGUUUACAUAAUUAUUUACGUUAUUUCCGCGGGAUUUACUAAUGCUCUAUUGUUUUGUUUUAUCUUGUUUUUGUUUCUAAUUUUGUCUUUGUUUUUGUUUUUGUUUUUGUUUUUGUUUUAAUGUAGCUUUUCAUUUUAUCCUAUGCGCCGAGGGUCGAAUGGAAACAGCCUCUCUACCCUUUCGGGUAGGGGUAAGGCUCGUCUACAUAUUACCCUCCCCAGACCCCACCUGGUGAGAAUAUAC